This 308-nucleotide long non-coding RNA is filed under the name Cyanistes caeruleus (blue tit). Its description in RNAcentral is "lncRNA (ENSCCEG00000018259.1)". Lineage: Eukaryota; Metazoa; Chordata; Aves; Passeriformes; Paridae. The record is from RNAcentral.
GAUAAUUCCAGUAAGUCUUGAAUCUCAAGAAGGAUUUCUCUGUAAAGGCAGUUUGAGCUAGUAGGGUAAAACCCUGCAAACUGGUGAUGUAAAAACCUGAGUUAUUGGAAUAUCUCUUGAUUUCAGUGAAGCUGGUAGAGAUUUUGAUUUUCAGGUGAAGAUUGGAAUGUAAUCAUCAGCUGGAAUGGAGGAGCAGAAACUGAAAAGUGCUAGCCUUUCCAUACUCCUCUUUCAUCAGGCUGAAAGUUUGAAACUGUGGUGAUGACAAGGAUUUUCAAAGGCUGAGAGGAGGUGGCUGGUUCUUCGAA